AAGGGGCCACGCUCGUGGCACCCGGACGAGGGAGCCGUACCCGGACAGCGACAAGACGGCCACGAA
RNAcentral lists this non-coding RNA (66 nucleotides) under Branchiibius sp. NY16-3462-2. The record is from RNAcentral. Lineage: Bacteria; Bacillati; Actinomycetota; Actinomycetes; Micrococcales; Dermacoccaceae. RNAcentral also lists the same sequence under 1 other name.